GCGCACUUGGCUUGUCGCGCGCUCGAAGAUGGCGCAGGACACCGCACACAGGAAUGCGUACUGGAGACUAGCCUACUAAGCAGUAUGCCAAAAUACUACUUAUUCGAGGGUUUUGCUAGAGCUAUGCUGUUUAGUACGGUACCCCACACGAAUUUAUGGAGAUCCUUUCUGCCUCUGGAUGGAGCUCAAAUCUUCUCUAAUUCCAGACUGCUGGGACUACGGCUGCUCCUAAGGCCAUACAGACUUCAUAUAAAUCCAUAAUGAAAUUUUUCACACUAACUGUUGUUACCCAGAUGAGGAUGGGUUCCCUUCUGAGUUGGGUUCCUCUCAAGGUUUCUUCCUCUUAAAACAUCUUAGGGAAUUUUUCCUUGCCACCGUCGCCACUCAGUGGCUUGCUCAGUUGGGAUAAAUUCACACCUUUAAUAUCUGUAUACCAUGUUGAUAUUUCUGUAAAGCUGCUUUGAGACAAUGUCAAUUGUAAAAAGCGCUAUACAAAUAAAAUUUAAUUGAAUUGAAA
Ictalurus punctatus (channel catfish) is the source of this 517-nucleotide long non-coding RNA. RefSeq lists it as uncharacterized. NCBI's taxonomy places the organism in Eukaryota, Metazoa, Chordata, Actinopteri, Siluriformes, Ictaluridae. The record is from RefSeq and is a predicted model, not a curated record. The transcript has 2 exons.